Molecule: long non-coding RNA, 3275 nt
Organism: Pieris napi
Lineage: Eukaryota; Metazoa; Arthropoda; Insecta; Lepidoptera; Pieridae
Exons: 4
Source: RefSeq, a predicted model, not a curated record
UUCCUUUCGUAAUUGAUAACUUUAUUUUGUAGCCAGGGGGAACCAGUUCUCCACAUUUCCAUGUUUACUAAAGCUGAUGGUGUCACUCCCCGAGAGGCACAAUCUGCUGGAUUGUCGGUAGAUGAAACAUGUGACCACUGAGUUGCGUCUAAAAUGUCUAAAAUCUCCGAAACACGAUUAGCAAUGAAAGUUUUCCAUCGACUGGGAUGGCUACUUAACCAAGCUAGCACAACCGUGGAAUCAGUCCAAGCGUGAAGUUUAUCCUUUGACGUUAUCAGAUGGACAUGAACAUUUCCAGAGCCAUCAACUACCCGAACAUAAAUUACAGCAGCAUAAGCUUCAUUUGAAGCAUCGCUAAACCCAUGGAGCUCCAGUGUGACAUCUGCUUUAGUACUUAUCCAGCGUGGGAGUCGAAAUUUGGUAUGCUGAUUGGAGGUAGUUGCACGGAGUAUUCGAAGUCGUCGUUUCGUCGGUUCCAGGUAAGUCCUAAAAUUUUAACUAUUUCAUUUGAUUUCAGUUCUACAUUAAUAUCUAAGUCUAAACCUUUUUUAUUUAUUUCCUUUAGCAGAUUUUCAUCAUUGCUUGACCACUUUUGGAGUUCAAAGCCGCCUGUCUUUAGUAGGUUGGUAAUAUCGUUAAAUAAUUGCUUUCCUUCUGAAACUGAUUCACACCCAGUAAGCAAAUCAUCCAUGUAAAAAUCCUUUAAGAUUUUUUCAGAUGCGACGGGAUACUCUCCUCCUUCAUCGUGUGCUAUCUGCUGCAGAGUUCGAACUGCAAGGUAAGGAGCAGACGCAGUACCAAAAGUGACACGUAAAAGGCGAAGAUGCUGUAAAUCUUCUGUAGUGUCUGUGCGCCACACUAAACGUUGAUAGUCUACAUCUUCUCUUGUUACCCUCACUUGACGGUACAUUUUGAUUAUGUCGGCAACCAGACAAAUAGGAUGUAGCCUCCAUCUUAAAACAAUGUGACGUAAGUCAGGCUGUAGCGCCGGUCCGACCAUCAAAUCACUAUUCAGUGAUACACCGUUCUGGUCUCGACAGGAUGCAUCGAAAACAACUCUGAGUUUAGUCGUCGAUUUAUCAGCUCUAACGACCGCGUGAUGAGCUCGGAUCGACAUCUCUGAAUGGGAGUUUAACGAUAUAACUUCCUGAUGGAUCUCGCUUCGUGGUUUCUUUAUAGAUGUCUUCACAUCUUUGUUCUUCAUGAGUGAGGUGAGUUCUUUUAAGGUUAAAGUUAUCAGACUCAAGUUCCCAAAAUUGUUUAAGGUUAAAAUCAUCAUUGUUAAUUUGAGUGUGCAUUGUUAAUAUGUUUUCGCAACCCAAACCAUGUUGGUCGUGAUGAUCGUUCUCAAUUUUUCCAGAUAAGAUCCAACCUAGCCUAGUGUUCUGAGCUAUUGGUGUUCCUGGUGGUCCUCUCAUUAGACCCUCAGCUAUGAUUUGACAAUAGACAUCAGCACCAAGCAACAUAUCAAUAUGACUUGGUUUGUUGAAAUUUGGAUCUGCUAACUUCAUCCUUGGUAGAUUUGGCCACAGAUGGACAACGAAUUCCUUUACAGGGAGGAAUGAAGUUAGUUUUUUAAGAACAUGAGCUGUUACACAAAUAGUAAAUGAUUCAUCUUGAAUUGAUUGCAGAUUAAUCUGCACUACAUAUUUGGAAUCAAGUGAGGCAUUGCCGUCACCUCCAACUCCAGAUAUGACACUGUUGCUUUUGAUUUUCUUUAGCCCCAGCAACUGGACUGCAGACUCCGUAAUAAAUGAAGCCUGUGAGCCCUGAUCUAAUAAGGCUCGCAGUGUCAUACUUGAUCCAGAAUUAUUGUUGGCCCUUACGAGGGCUGUUGCCAAUAGAACUUGUUUUCUGGUAUUAGUAAAACAAGUGGUAAUAUUUUCAAUGUUGGUCUCGUCUGGUCUCGAUGUUGUUGCCGUUGCAACAACAUUGAUAUCUUCUGGUGAUUGGUUGUUAGCUGAUACAUUAUCUGUUGAUACACUAGCGUUGUAAUGCAAAAGUGAAUGGUGUUUUCGUUUGCAAAUCUUACACCUGGUGGGCAAACGACACGCCUCAACCGAAUGAUUAGCACCUAAACAGUUGAAGCAUAAGGCGGAACUUUGAACAAACUCACGACGUGUUUUAAGGUUACCCUUAGCAAAUUUCUUACAAUUUCCUAUUUUAUGCGUACUAUCUGAACAAAAGACACAAUUUGAUUUUUCCUUAAAAGUUACAUGAUGAGAUUGAGUGCUUUUGACUGGUUUGUUUAUUAAAAAUUCAAGUGACCUAAACCUUUGCUCUAAAAAUUCAAAAAACUGAUUUAAUGUUGGCAAUUCAUCUGUUAAAUUACAAAUUUUAGUUUCCCAUAACUCUCUAGACUUAGUAUCUAAUUUUGAACUUAAAAUAUAUAAAACAAUAACAUCCCAAUUGUCAGUUACUAUUCCUAUAUUUUUCAAUGCAUUUAAACAUUCAUUUGUGGUGUCUAGUAAUUCUUUAACAGCAUUUGAAGAUUCGGAAACAAUAUUCUUUUGAGAAAAAAAUCUUUUUAAAAUACUAUUUGUAAUAAAUUUCUUAUUAUUAAAACGUUGUUCUAACAUACUCCAACAUAGUUCAUAAUUUUCACUUGUAACCGGCAAAUGUCGUAGUAACUGCUCGGCUUCACCGGUCAGGUAACUUUUUAGGUAAUGCAACUUUUGCACUGCUUGCAACGAUUUGUUGCUGUGUAUCAAUGACUUAAACAGGUCACGAAACGUGGUCCAUUGUGAAUAGUGGCCAGAAAAAGUAGGUAUUGUUAUUCUAGGUAAUUUUACUUCACUGUUAAUGUUGCUUACUACAUCACUCGUAACUAUAGGGCUAUUUUUAAAUUUAGUAAGUUUUUCCUUUAUAUCAAUUUUGUAUUCACUAUAUAAAUCUUCCGUCUCUCCAUAUACAUCUUUCAAGCUGUACUCCGAUUCAUCAUAAUCUUCCUCACCAUAGUUACAUAUUAAUUUAUUGUGUGUCUCUUCAAAUGUUGACCAUUGUUUUUCUAAUUGUUCCAAUCUGGUUUCCAAAUAACUUCCUGUAAUUCUAUCUUUUGGUGUUUUCUUAAAAUUUGUAUAAGCCCUUUUUAAUGUUUUGUUAAUAUCUUUCUGUACUCUUACAAGUGAUUCCAUUGUGAUUUUUCUAAGUUACACUUGUAAAAUUUCCAAGUUCCAAAUCGCAAAUUUUUCUAAGUGUUUGGUGUACCUAAUAAUUUCGACUUAGGCAAAAUCGGGCAUGGAUUCCCCGUGGUUAACAACUUUUGCCUUAACUUU